UAAGUCCUACGGGAGGCAGCAGUGGGGAAUAUUGCACAAUGGGGGGAACCCUGAUGCAGCGACGCCGCGUGAGUGAAGAAGUAUUUCGGUAUGUAAAGCUCUAUCAGCAGGGAAGAUAAUGACGGUACCUGACCAAGAAGCCCCGGCUAACUACGUGCCAGCAGCCGCGGUAAUACGUAGGGGGCAAGCGUUAUCCGGAAUUACUGGGUGUAAAGGGAGCGUAGACGGCUGUGCAAGUCUGGAGUGAAAGGCGGGGGCCCAACCCCCGGACUGCUCUGGAAACUGUAUGG
This 290-nucleotide ribosomal RNA is filed under the name uncultured bacterium. Its description in RNAcentral is "partial 16S ribosomal RNA". It matches the Rfam family "Bacterial small subunit ribosomal RNA", at positions 333 to 640 of the family's 1533-position model. The record is from RNAcentral.